UCCAAUCGGAAUCUGCCUGGUCCCCUGCGUAAACAUUACCACCACAGCCGACUUCGGACUGUCAAGGUGACCGCGCUGGAUGUGGGGGCUGGGAAGAAAUGCACACUGGGCAUCAGGGAGACAGGAUACACAAAGGCCUGAGUAGGAAGUGAUGUGUUUUGAAUUUUCUCCUUUCCAUGUCUCUGGAGUAUGUGAGUGGAAAACUAUUUGUAUUAUUUUUUACAAAGGAAAACUGUUCUGGUUAAGGUCCUUGCUUCUCUUCCUGCUUCCUGUUUGCCAUGAUGCAAGCAGCCUCCUUCCGCCAUGCCUCCCUGCCAUGCUGUUCCUGCCCUGAGACGGCCAACCGUGAACUGUA
Molecule: long non-coding RNA, 355 nt
Organism: Fukomys damarensis (Damara mole-rat)
Lineage: Eukaryota; Metazoa; Chordata; Mammalia; Rodentia; Bathyergidae
Exons: 3
Source: RefSeq, a predicted model, not a curated record